AUUGAACGCUGGCGGCAGGCCUAACACAUGCAAGUCGAGCGAGUGGCGGACGGGUGAGUAAUGUCUGGGGAUCUGCCCGAUAGAGGGGGAUAACUACUGGAAACGGUGGCUAAUACCGCAUACUAUCGGAUGUGCCCAGAUGGGAUUAGCUAGUAGGUGGGGUAACGGCUCACCUAGGCGACGCUCUCUAGCUGGUCUGAGAGGAUGAUCAGCCACACUGGGACUGAGACACGGCCCAGACUCCUACGGGAGGCAGCAGGGGGGAAGAUUGCACAAUGGGCGCAAGCCUGAUGCAGCCAUGCCGCGUGUAUGAAGAAGGCCUUAGGGUUGUAAAGUACUUUCAGCGGGGAGGCGUUACCCGCAGAAGAAGCACCGGCUAACUCCGUGCCAGCAGCCGCGGUAAUAC
This 406-nucleotide ribosomal RNA is filed under the name uncultured bacterium. RNAcentral describes it as "partial 16S ribosomal RNA". It matches the Rfam family "Bacterial small subunit ribosomal RNA", at positions 30 to 526 of the family's 1533-position model. The record is from RNAcentral.